UUUUUUCGGGCGACGGUGGCAUCCGCGACGAGAGGGAGAAAGAUCUGAUUCUUAUGGCAUUGUCAGUAUGAACCAGAGUGACUUGACACAACAGGCCAAACAAGCUGUACAAACAAAAUGGAAACGACACAGGAUGUCUUAUUUAAUGAAAGGGGUUGCAGUCUGCCGUGAAGCUUUCAUCCAUGUAUACGGCAUCAGUAGAACACGCCACCAGUCAUUCAAGGAGAACAGUCUAAUGCCUCCCAUCAAAAAGAGAGCUGGCCCAAGCAAGCACAGGUUACAUCUGAAGCAUGAGGACUUACAGCGAGUUGUGAACUUUAUCAAAACUACACAGAGGAUAUUGUGUUAAUAGUAUUACCAGGAUGCCACGAAGGACACAAACUUUGGUGGAAAGCUGCUGCCAUCUCAUGUGACAAAAGCAGCAAUGUGGAAUCGAUGACACCACUUGCUUCGAUUCUCCGGAGCCUGGUAUUGUUGUCGCCAAGGAGCGUUCGGACUCAGUCGAGACCAGGUUUCAGCUCCUGCGCAAGGCUGACAUCCUUGCUCCCAUAGAUGGUCUGCCUGUACAAGCACCACCUGGACUGGACACAGCUAGACUAACUUAUCUUUAUGAGAAGCUUUGAAGAAUCUCAAAUAUAUUUUGAUUUGUUUAACACUUUUUUGGUUACUACAUUAUUCCAUAUGUGUUAUUUCAUAGUUUUGAUGUCUACACUAUUAU
Molecule: long non-coding RNA, 718 nt
Organism: Oncorhynchus gorbuscha (pink salmon)
Lineage: Eukaryota; Metazoa; Chordata; Actinopteri; Salmoniformes; Salmonidae
Exons: 3
Source: RefSeq, a predicted model, not a curated record